RNAcentral lists this ribosomal RNA (484 nucleotides) under uncultured bacterium. RNAcentral describes it as "bacterial SSU rRNA". It matches the Rfam family "Bacterial small subunit ribosomal RNA", at positions 28 to 496 of the family's 1533-position model. The record is from RNAcentral.
GAUGAACGCUAGCGGCAGGCUUAAUACAUGCAAGUCGAGGGGCAUCAAGGUACACGAAAGUGUAUUGUUGGCGACCGGCGGACGGGUGAGUAAUAGGUAGGUAACCUACCUCAUACUGAGGCAUAGCUGGGAGAAAUUCCAGGUAAUUCCUCAUGAGGUUAUAUGACACAUGUGAUAUAAUCAAAGGUAUCGCAAGGUACUGGUAUGAGAUGGGCUUACUGACCAUUAGCUAGUUGGUGAGAUAAGAGCUCACCAAGGCGAAGAUGGUUAGGGGUUUUGAGAGAGAGAUCCCCCACAUUGGGACUGAGAUACGGUCCAGACUCCUACGGGAGGCAGCAGUAGGGAAUAUUGGGCAAUGGGCGGAAGCCUGACCCAGCCAUGCCGCGUGAAGGAAGACGGCCUUAUGGGUUGUAAACUUCUUUACUAUGCGACUAACUAGAUUUACGAGAUAAUUCUAUAGAAUGUAGCAUAGCAAAAGCACCGG